Diospyros lotus (date-plum) is the source of this 2082-nucleotide RNA transcript. It is a transcript of the gene named RHOMBOID-like protein 13, with no coding region annotated. NCBI's taxonomy places the organism in Eukaryota, Viridiplantae, Streptophyta, Magnoliopsida, Ericales, Ebenaceae. The transcript has 2 exons. The record is from RefSeq and is a predicted model, not a curated record.
UGGUUCUCAAGGAAGCAGGAAAUCUAGCGUUUGCGGAGAACUCUGAUCGACUCGGAGCCAAGAGGUGCGAAAAUUUUCCCUAUUAAACCCUAAUUAUACUCUUUAUGUGGCCGCUUGGAAACCCCAAUUUGUGUUUCAAACCGUAAAAUUGCGUUCCCCCUUGUUUUCUCAGUCCAAAUCCGUCGGUGUCUGAGGAUUGAAUGCGAAGCUUUGAAGAUAGAAUUGGUAAAGCUUCAGUGAUUUCUCAAAACGGAGAGUAGUUAUCUGGCUGAUCUCUGAGGAACUCAAUUCGUGGUUUGGCGUUCUUGGCGGUGAGAUGUGCAAAUUUCAAAAAAUUUUAAGGUGGUAGUAGAUUUGGACCUUUAGGGUGAUUGCUGAAAUUUUCGAAUCGGAUUUUGUGGUUUUGGCUGUCUAUAGUUUUUUGGAGCCUUUGAUCUUUGAGUUCUGGAUAUUGUGCUUGAUCUUGACCGAGUUCUCAUGCUUGUAAAAAACUGGAGUAUUUUGUGCUUGCUUAAGUGGAUUUAGGGAUUCUGGAGAGUGUGGAAGAGGGGUUCUAGAUGGGUAAGCCGCUGUUUUAUGAGAUCUUGGAAAAGCCUGCCACAAGUUGUGUUAUUGGGAUAUGUACUGCAAUUUGGUUCUACAUUCAGAAGAAAAAUAUUGGGUAUUCACAUGUGGGCUUGAGUUAUGACACCGCCAUCGAAGGUCAUUAUUGGAGGAUAAUAACAUCUGCAUUUUCACAUAUAAGCAUCUUGCAUCUAGUCUUCAAUAUGAGUGCACUUUGGAGCCUUGGAGUUGUGGAGCAGUUAGGUCACAUUGGACUAGGGGUGGAAUUUUAUCUUCAAUACACACUUGUGCUGGUAGUUUUGUCAGGUAUGCUAGUUUUAGGGGCUUACCAUGUUUUGAUCCAAAAAUUCAAGUUAGAGUAUUUCCGGAGGGUGACAGCUGUUGGGUACUCCUGUGUCGUUUUUGGCUGGAUGACUAUUCUUUCGGUGAAGCAACCAUCUUCCAAGUUGGAGCUUUUUGGGUUUCUGUCUCUUCCAAUCAGUUUUGCACCAUUUGAGUCGCUUAUAUUUACUUCAAUAAUUGUUCCAAAAGCAAGUUUUCUAGGCCACUUAUCUGGAAUAAUUGUUGGUUAUUCCAUUGCUUGGGGUUUGAUUCAUGGGGUGAACAAUUACUGGGCUAUUUCUAUGCUAGGAUGGAUGGUACUUUUAUUUGUGUUGAGUUUGAAGCGUUCUGGUGCAUUUGAUUUCAACUUUCUUGAGAUUGAAUCAGUUACAGAUCCAUCCUUUCCCUCUGUGCGGUUUCUUGGAAAUGGUAGGACCUUGCAGAUGACUUCGCUACCAGUUGCAGCUGCCGAACUUGUGUGACUCAUGGUUAAGCAACAGAUGCGUGGUUCACUUUGGGGUCAUCCUGUAUUUAAUCUGCAUGUUUUGUUUCCCAAGCCAGUAUUUUGUGCUUGGAACUAAGAGAAUUCUCUUCGAGCAGAAGUCUUCCGGGUUGCCAUUACAUGGUGUGAUACAGCUUUGCAACUCUCAUCUGCACCUUUAUCGAAUAAUGGAAUUGUUGGUUGCUUAUUACUGUUAAAACACAUAUCAUUUUGUUAUUCUUGCCAUUCCAUUAUCCAUGCCAAGCCAUGGUCUUACUGCAUUUUGUCAUUCUUACAUGGAUGAAGAAUUUGGUUGGGGAAGAUGCCUUCAGUGAUACUGUAGAGUUAAAUGUGUUAUUUGUUUUUCCUCUUUUUUUUUUUUUUUUGGUAGAGAUUUCUCACAUGGUUAUUUAUUUAUUUUUUCUCCUAGAAACUAGAAAUGACUCGUGAAUUAGAACCAUGCAGAGCCAACCCCAGAUCGGGAUAAAGGCUCGAUAUUGUAGUUCUAUGUAAUGCCAAACUGGCUGAAAAUGCUGUGUUCUUGGAAUAGAGAGCAAGUUGAUCUGGUCACCAUUGGAGUAGGGUGGAGAUUUAAGAUCAACAAAUACUUUUAUCAAGUAAGAUUUAGUCACUGAAUAACACAACUGCACAGCAAUUUGUUAAAUUCUUGUAAUCGUAGACAGAUUUUCUGGAAUUGACAAAUGUGAUUGGUUCAA